This 230-nucleotide long non-coding RNA is filed under the name Lathyrus oleraceus (garden pea). RNAcentral describes it as "Pisum sativum (pea) long non-coding RNA (PSAT_LNC029770)". Lineage: Eukaryota; Viridiplantae; Streptophyta; Magnoliopsida; Fabales; Fabaceae. The record is from RNAcentral.
CCAAUUUCAUGAAAUGCACCCCUGUGUUUUUUGGUUAUUGGAUUUUUCUGGCUGGACAAAAAUCAGCACUGGAUUUAUCCUGCAGCCCACUAACCAAAUUCCAGUUUACACCAUCCUUUUACCCUUCACACCCUAUUUCCCUUUUAUUUUUUUUUUAUUUUCUUUUGGUUUUAGAUUUUAAUUAGGAUAACUAGGAUAAUAUUAGAUUAAUUAGGGUGGUAAAUCUUGAU